CCGUACAGCCGGGGAGUUAGCGGCACCCUGUACCAGCAAUCCGCUACAGCUGGGGUGAUGUCCUGCCGCGGGCUGAUUUAUGCAGAGCUGCCCCUGAUAAGUGAUAUUGACGUUUGGGUCUUACGCAAUGGGAAUCCGUGAAUCGUGUCAGGUCAGGAAUGGAGCAGCACUAAGCGGAACCUCUCAUGUGACGUGAGGGUGCCUGGGCCGAGUUAACUGUCAGGGUAACGUCUGUGUAACAGGUUCAAAGCAGGACGUACGG
This 262-nucleotide signal recognition particle RNA is filed under the name Oscillospiraceae bacterium Marseille-Q3528. Its description in RNAcentral is "Bacterial large signal recognition particle RNA". It matches the Rfam family "Bacterial large signal recognition particle RNA". Rfam says of the family: The signal recognition particle (SRP) is a universally conserved ribonucleoprotein involved in the co-translational targeting of proteins to membranes. Archaeal SRP consists of a 7S RNA and homologues of the eukaryotic SRP19 and SRP54 proteins. The record is from Rfam by way of RNAcentral. Lineage: Bacteria; Bacillati; Bacillota; Clostridia; Eubacteriales; Oscillospiraceae. RNAcentral also lists the same sequence under 1 other name.